GGGGAAUAUUGGACAAUGGGCGCAAGCCUGAUCCAGCCAUGCCGCGUGUGUGAAGAAGGUCUUCGGAUUGUAAAGCACUUUAAGUUGGGAGGAAGGGCGCUUGGCUAAUACCCAAGGGUUUUGACGUUACCAACAGAAUAAGCACCGGCUAACUUCGUGCCAGCAGCCGCGGUAAUACGAAGGGUGCGAGCGUUAAUCGGAAUUACUGGGCGUAAAGCGCGCGUAGGCGGUUUGUUAAGUUGGAGGUGAAAUCCCCGGGCUCAACCUGGGAAGUGCCUCCAAAACUGGCUGACUAGAGUACGGUAGAGGGUGGUGGAAUUUCCUGUGUAGCGGUGAAAUGCGUAGAUAUAGGAAGGAACACCAGUGGCGAAGGCGACCACCUGGACUGAUACUGACGCUGAGGUGCGAAAGCGUGGGGAGCAAACA
This 426-nucleotide ribosomal RNA is filed under the name uncultured Pseudomonas sp. RNAcentral describes it as "bacterial SSU rRNA". It matches the Rfam family "Bacterial small subunit ribosomal RNA", at positions 356 to 774 of the family's 1533-position model. Lineage: Bacteria; Pseudomonadati; Pseudomonadota; Gammaproteobacteria; Pseudomonadales; Pseudomonadaceae. The record is from RNAcentral.